ACGAACGCUGGCGGCGUGCUUAACCCAUGCAAGUCGCACGGGCCCGCUCUCUUUUUUGGGGGUGGGUUGAGUGGCGAACGGGUGAGUAUCACGUGAGUAACCUGCCCCCUGCUCCUGGAUAACUGCUUGAAAGGGCGGCUAAUACGGGGUGUGCCGGCUGGUCCGCAUGGGCCUGGUCGGGAUAGUUUCAUCUUCGGGUGUUUCGGUGGGGGAUGGGCUCGCGGCCUAUCAGCUUGUUGGUGGGGUGAUGGCCCACCAAGGCGGUGACGGGUAGCCGGCCUGAGAGGGUGGGCGGCCACACUGGGACUGAGACACGGCCCAGACUCCUGCGGGAGGCAGCAGUGGGGGGUAUUGCACAAUGGGCGGAAGCCUGAUGCAGCGACGUCGCGUGAGGGAUGGAGGCCUUCGGGUUGUGAACCUCUUUCUCCGGUGGUGAAGGCCCUGUCCGUUGCGGCGGGGUUGACGGUAGCCGGGUAUGAAGCGCCGGCUAACUACGUG
This 498-nucleotide ribosomal RNA is filed under the name uncultured bacterium. RNAcentral's name for it is "partial 16S ribosomal RNA". It matches the Rfam family "Bacterial small subunit ribosomal RNA", at positions 29 to 507 of the family's 1533-position model. The record is from RNAcentral.